CUACGAGAGGCACCAGUGGGGAAUAUUGCACAAUGGGGGAAACCCUGAUGCAGCAACGCCGCGUGGAGGAUGACACAUUUCGGUGCGUAAACUCCUUUUAUAGGUCAAGAUAAUGACGGUAGCCUAUGAAUAAGCGCCGGCUAACUCCGUGCCAGCAGCCGCGGUAAUACGGAGGGCGCAAGCGUUACUCGGAAUCACUGGGCGUAAAGAGCAUGUAGGCGGGUUAAUAAGUCAGAAGUGAAAUCCAAUAGCUCAACUAUUGAACUGCUUUUGAAACUGUUAACCUAGAGUGUGGGAGAGGUAGAUGGAAUUUCUGGUGUAGGGGUAAAAUCCGUAGAGAUCAGAAGGAAUACCGAUUGCGAAGGCGAUCUACUGGAACAUUACUGACGCUGAGAUGCGAAAGCGUGGGGAGCAAACAGGAUUAGAUACCCGGGUAGUC
This 439-nucleotide ribosomal RNA is filed under the name uncultured bacterium. RNAcentral's name for it is "partial 16S ribosomal RNA". It matches the Rfam family "Bacterial small subunit ribosomal RNA", at positions 339 to 795 of the family's 1533-position model. The record is from RNAcentral.